UUUUUGAAGGGUGUAUAAAAUCUUAAGUAAGAUCAAUGGAAAAAUUGAUAGAUAUUGAAGUUCUAAAUUGCCUUAGGAUUAGAUUAAUUUAAUUACGAUUUGAUUAAGGUUUAGGAUUUGAUUUAAGAUUUAGAGAUUAGUUAGGAUUUAGGAUUUUUUUAGGAUUUAGAAUUAUUUAGGAUUAAUUAAGGUUUGAUUUAUAAAUUAAUUAAAAAUUAUUAGGAUUUCAAUUAGGAUUAAUUUAAAAUUUAAUUAAAAUAUAUUUAAGAUAUAUUUAAGAUUUUAUUCUAAUACUUCUUUUAAAUUGUUUUAGAAUUUCUUCAUACUUCUUUUAAUAUUUUUUUAAGGUUUCUUUGAAUUUGAUUAAAGCUUGAUUAAUAUUGUUAAGGUUUAAUUGAAUUUAUUUAGAAUUCUUUUAGAUUUAAAAUUUUGUUGUUGCAAUUUUCUUUCUACCUUCUACAACCAAGUACUUGGUACAUUUUCAAGCAAGGCUUCACAUAAUACGACAUUGGAUUUUGAAAAAAGUAUUGAAAAGGCUUCUAUGUAAUCCAAUUUAAGAGAUUGAAUAAAACAGGUCAUAAAUUUAAAGAUGAAUUGAUAUUAAAUGGCAAGAAAGUUGGAUGUGAGAAUUUUUUGAUUAAGGAUGUAGAGAGAUGUUUCA
This 661-nucleotide long non-coding RNA is filed under the name Physcomitrium patens. RNAcentral describes it as "long non-coding RNA (PPAT_LNC012139)". The record is from RNAcentral. Lineage: Eukaryota; Viridiplantae; Streptophyta; Bryopsida; Funariales; Funariaceae.